Molecule: ribosomal RNA, 421 nt
Filed under: uncultured bacterium
Lineage: Bacteria
Description: bacterial SSU rRNA
Rfam family: Bacterial small subunit ribosomal RNA
Source: RNAcentral
AGAGUUUGAUCCUGGCUCAGAUUGAACGCUGGCGGCGUGCGUAACACAUGCAAGUCGAGCGGUAACAGGUGUAGCAAUACAUGCUGACGAGCGGCGAACGGGUGAGUAAUGCUUCGGAAUCUACCUUAUGGUGGGGAAUAACUAGCCGAAAGGUUAGCUAAUACCGCAUACGUCCUACGGGAGAAAGCAGGGGAUCGUAAGACCUUGCGCCAAAAGAUGAGCCGAAGUCGGAUUAGCUAGUUGGUAGGGUAACGGCCUACCAAGGCGACGAUCCGUAGCUGGUCUGAGAGGACGACCAGCCACACUGGGACUGAGACACGGCCCAGACUCCUACGGGAGGCAGCAGUGGGGAAUAUUGGACAAUGGGGGAAACCCUGAUCCAGCGACGCCGCGUGUGUGAAGAAGGCCUGCGGGUUGUAAA